AAUCAACGCUGGCGGCGUGCCUCAGACAUGCAAGUCGAACGCGAAAGUCCCCUUCGGGGGAUGAUUAGAGUGGCGCACGGGUGAGUAACACGUAGGUAAUCUACCUUCGAGUGGGGAAUAACUCAGGGAAACUUGAGCUAAUACCGCAUAAUGCAGCGGCACCACAUGGUGACAGUUGUUAAAGCAUUUAUGCGCUUGAAGAGGAGCCUGCGGCAGAUAGCUAGUUGGUAAGGUAAUGGCUUACCAAGGCUACGAUCUGUAACCGGCCUGAGAGGGCGGACGGUCACACUGACACUGAAUAACGGGUCAGACUCCUACGGGAGGCAGCAGUCGGGAAUUUUGGGCAAUGGGCGAAAGCCUGACCCAGC
RNAcentral lists this ribosomal RNA (368 nucleotides) under uncultured bacterium. Its description in RNAcentral is "bacterial SSU rRNA". It matches the Rfam family "Bacterial small subunit ribosomal RNA", at positions 32 to 392 of the family's 1533-position model. The record is from RNAcentral.